GAUUAACGCUGGCGGCGUGCAUAACACAUGCAAGUCGAACGAUAAAACUUAGUAGACUUCUUCUGAACGACAGUAAGCGGCGUAGGGGCGAACGGGAGAGUAACGCGUGAGUAUUCGGCCUUACACAAGGGGAUAGCCUUAGGAAACGAAGAAUAAUACCCUAUAAAAGCAUAAAAGCACAUGCUAGACUGGUCAAGGUGAUAGCGGCGUAAGAUGGACUUGCGUCUGAUUAGCUAGUUGGCGAGAUAAAAGCUCACCAAGGCAGCGAUCAGUCGCCGGCGUGGGAGAGUGUACGGCGACAUUGGGACUGGGACACGGCCCAGACUCCUGCGAGAGGCCGCAGUGGUGAAUUAUGCACAAUGGGGGAAACCCUGAUGCAGCGACGCCGCGAGAUUUAGCAGGCCUUUGUGUUGUAAAAAUCUUUUGUAUAGGGAGAGAAUGACGGUACUAUACGAAUAAGGACCGGCUAAUUACGUG
This 477-nucleotide ribosomal RNA is filed under the name uncultured bacterium. RNAcentral describes it as "partial 16S ribosomal RNA". It matches the Rfam family "Bacterial small subunit ribosomal RNA", at positions 28 to 507 of the family's 1533-position model. The record is from RNAcentral.